AUAUCAUUUUCGUGUCAAUUAAUACAAACCACCAAGAAUAAGACAUGAUAAAAGUUGUGUUAAAGUGGAAUGAGGCGUAUGUAUAAUUUCAUUACAUGGUUCAUUGUGCAGCUCUCCUCCAAUCAAAUCCUACCAAAGACCAGACCUCAAAAUUAAGACACACGCACAGACAAAGAAAGAAUGAUAGAAACCAUUUCUGAAAACAUCCAAGACCAUCCCUGAAACAUCCAUCACCAUUUCUGAAAAUUUAGAUCCACAUAGCCAUUUCUGAAACCAUUGGCUAUGCCUACAGGGUGAGGCCAAGAAAAUCAGCAGCAGAUUUUGCCAUGAUAUUAGCAAACUCAUUAAAACUAAUGACACCAUCUCCAUUUGUAUCAGCCUCCCUCAUCAUCUGAGAUAGUUCUUGAUAAGUUAAUGGAUGACCCAUUUUAGCCAUGGAUCCUGCAAGCUCAGCUGCAGUAAUAUAUCCAUUGCCAUCGCGAUCAAAUGAUCGAAAGACCUCCAAUAACUGCUCCUGGUUGAUCAAUACUUCUUCGUUCAUGUCAGGCAAUAUGGCGGUCACCAAUUCAUCAAACUCAACAUAUCCAUUGCCAUUUGCAUCCAUGUUGGAUAGCAAGACAUGGAUUUGGUCGCCUGAAGGUUUGAGGCCGAGAGAGCGAAGAAGUGCGGCGAGCUCUAGCUGAGUCAGGCUCCCAUCGGAAUCCAUGUCAAAGCGCAUGAAGAUGUCCUUGAGCUGCUUGAGCUGGUCGGAUUGGAGGGUUGCCAUCAUGGCUGCAGGUAAUGGUGAUUGGUGAAGGAGAAGAGAACAAAAACCAAGAAGAAUAAUUAAAAGAAAAAACUUGUAAAAGAGAGAAAAGAAAGGGUAUUUUGGUUUGUUGAAGAUGUGGGGCUUACGUUUUUCUUUCUGGUUUCUGUAUGAUUUGGAAUGCUUCAAAUUCAAA
This 941-nucleotide unclassified non-coding RNA is filed under the name Hevea brasiliensis (rubber tree). Lineage: Eukaryota; Viridiplantae; Streptophyta; Magnoliopsida; Malpighiales; Euphorbiaceae. The record is from RNAcentral.